RNAcentral lists this transfer RNA (75 nucleotides) under Typhlonectes natans (Rio Cauca caecilian). Its description in RNAcentral is "tRNA-Tyr". It matches the Rfam family "tRNA". Rfam says of the family: Transfer RNA (tRNA) molecules are approximately 80 nucleotides in length. Their secondary structure includes four short double-helical elements and three loops (D, anti-codon, and T loops). The record is from RNAcentral. Lineage: Eukaryota; Metazoa; Chordata; Amphibia; Gymnophiona; Typhlonectidae.
GGUAAAAUGGCCGAGUGCUAGGCGGCGGAGUGUAGUUCCGAGGACGGAGGUUUGAGUCCUCUUGUUACCAGCCCG